AGGUGUGGUCAGGGAAGACCCUGGAGGAGGAGGCGGCCUCAGAGGGCCUCAAGCUAAAGGAGAUCUUUUCAGGGCUAAAGGUGGCUCUCAGAACUGCCGAGAGGGCCCAAACAGAGUCUCGACUCCGCUUGCAGGAAGGACCAGCGCAGAGCAGGGCCCUGUGCAGACCUGUCUCAGCCGAGGCCCGCUGCCCGGGGCUUGGACCCCACCUCCUUGGACGCACCGGCCGGUGUUGGUCUGCAAGGAGCCUCCACUGUCAGAAGCGGGGCUGGCUUCAGUCUUCACUUCAGAUGCUUUCGUGCUGCUCUGCUUUUAAU
This is a long non-coding RNA of Bos taurus (domestic cattle), 317 nucleotides long. NCBI's taxonomy places the organism in Eukaryota, Metazoa, Chordata, Mammalia, Artiodactyla, Bovidae. The record is from Ensembl.